This 189-nucleotide non-coding RNA is filed under the name Desulfurivibrio alkaliphilus. Its description in RNAcentral is "6S RNA". It matches the Rfam family "6S / SsrS RNA". Rfam says of the family: E. coli 6S RNA was the first non coding RNA to be sequenced, but its function was unknown until recently. It consists of 184 nucleotides that fold into an extended hairpin structure with a large single-stranded internal bulge. The record is from RNAcentral. Lineage: Bacteria; Pseudomonadati; Thermodesulfobacteriota; Desulfobulbia; Desulfobulbales; Desulfobulbaceae.
UUUCCCCUGCCUUGUUUGUGGUCGGGCAGAAAAAUUUCGAGCCAACAUUGACAUUGAGGGUGACCGCUAGCUGUUUUCUGCAAGGAACUCGUUUUCGGGCGAAUUCCUUAAAAUGGAAACGCAGGUAUCGCCCACCUAACACUGUUAGGUUCGAUGUCACUGUCCGGGCACGGCAAAGGCGGGGGAAUU